This 490-nucleotide ribosomal RNA is filed under the name uncultured bacterium. Its description in RNAcentral is "partial 16S ribosomal RNA". It matches the Rfam family "Bacterial small subunit ribosomal RNA", at positions 30 to 507 of the family's 1533-position model. The record is from RNAcentral.
AUUGAACGCUGGCGGCAGGCCUAACACAUGCGAGUCGAACGGUAACAGGAAGAAGCUUGCUUCUUUGCUGAUGAGUGGCGGACGGGUGAGUAAUGUCUGGGAAACUGCCUGAUGGAGGGGGAUAACUACUGGAAACGGUAGCUAAUACCGCAUAACGUCGCAAGACCAAAGAGGGGGACCUUCGGGCCUCUUGCCAUCGGAUGUGCCCAGAUGGGAUUAGCUAGUAGGUGGGGUAACGGCUCACCUAGGCGACGAUCCCUAGCUGGUCUGAGAGGAUGACCAGCCACACUGGAACUGAGACACGGUCCAGACUCCUACGGGAGGCAGCAGUGGGGAAUAUUGCACAAUGGGCGCAAGCCUGAUGCAGCCAUGCCGCGUGUAUGAAGAAGGCCUUCGGGUUGUAAAGUACUUUCAGCGGGGAGGAAGGGAGUAAAGUUAAUACCUUUGCUCAUUGACGUUACCCGCAGAAGAAGCACCGGCUAACUCCGUG